This 75-nucleotide transfer RNA is filed under the name Rhodospirillales bacterium. RNAcentral describes it as "tRNA-Thr". It matches the Rfam family "tRNA". Rfam says of the family: Transfer RNA (tRNA) molecules are approximately 80 nucleotides in length. Their secondary structure includes four short double-helical elements and three loops (D, anti-codon, and T loops). The record is from RNAcentral. Lineage: Bacteria; Pseudomonadati; Pseudomonadota; Alphaproteobacteria; Rhodospirillales.
GCCGCAAUAGCUCAGUCGGUAGAGCACGUCAUUCGUAAUGACGGGGUCGGGGGUUCGAAUCCUCUUGCGGCACCA